CGCUGAGUUUGAUCCUGGCUCAGAUUGAACGCUGGCGGCAUGCUUUACACAUGCAAGUCGAACGGUAACAGGCCGCAAGGUGCUGACGAGUGGCGAACGGGUGAGUAAUGCAUCGGGAACGUGCCCAGUCGUGGGGGAUAACGCAGCGAAAGCUGCGCUAAUACCGCAUACGAUCUAUGGAAUGAAAGCGGGGACCGUAAGGCCUCGCGCGAUUGGAGCGGCCGAUGUCAGAUUAGGU
RNAcentral lists this ribosomal RNA (238 nucleotides) under uncultured Hydrogenophaga sp. Its description in RNAcentral is "partial 16S ribosomal RNA". It matches the Rfam family "Bacterial small subunit ribosomal RNA", at positions 1 to 246 of the family's 1533-position model. Lineage: Bacteria; Pseudomonadati; Pseudomonadota; Betaproteobacteria; Burkholderiales; Comamonadaceae. The record is from RNAcentral.